CCUACGGGGGGCAGCAGUGAGGAAUAUUGGUCAAUGGGCGCAAGCCUGAACCAGCCAAGUCGCGUGAGGGAAGACGGUCCUAUGGAUUGUAAACCUCUUUUGUCGGGGAGCAAAGCGCGGUACGAGUGCCGUGAAGGAGAGUACCCGAAGAAAAAGCAUCGGCUAACUCCGUGCCAGCAGCCGCGGUAAUACGGAGGAUGCGAGCGUUAUCCGGAUUUAUUGGGUUUAAAGGGUGCGUAGGCGGAUUUGUAAGUCAGCGGUAAAAAUGCGGUGCUCAACGCCGUAUCGCCGUUGAAACUGCAGGU
RNAcentral lists this ribosomal RNA (305 nucleotides) under uncultured bacterium. Its description in RNAcentral is "bacterial SSU rRNA". It matches the Rfam family "Bacterial small subunit ribosomal RNA", at positions 338 to 640 of the family's 1533-position model. The record is from RNAcentral.